GCGUAGGAGGGCAGGUAAGUCAGUGGUGAAAUCCCCGAGCUUAACUUGGGAACUGCCGUUGAUACUAUCUGUCUCGAAUGUUGUGGAGGUGAGCGGAAUAUGUCAUGUAGCGGUGAAAUGCUUAGAUAUGACAUAGAACACCAAUUGCGAAGGCAGCUCGCUACACAAUUAUUGACUCUGAUGCACGAAAGCGUGGGGAUCAAACAGGAUUAGAUACCCUGGUAGUCCACGCCCUAAACGAUGGAUACUCGACAUCAGCGAUACACUGUUGGUGUCUGAGCGAAAGCAUUAAGUAUCCCACCUGGGAAGUACGACCGCAAGGUUGAAACUCAAAGGAAUUGG
This 342-nucleotide ribosomal RNA is filed under the name uncultured bacterium. RNAcentral's name for it is "bacterial SSU rRNA". It matches the Rfam family "Bacterial small subunit ribosomal RNA", at positions 569 to 913 of the family's 1533-position model. The record is from RNAcentral.